CCUACGGGGGGCAGCAGUGAGGAAUAUUGGUCAAUGGGCGGGAGCCUGAACCAGCCAAGUCGCGUGAGGGACGACGGUCCUAUGGAUUGUAAACCUCUUUUGUCGGGGAACAAAGGCGCCCACGGGUGGGCGGAUGAGUGUACCCGAAGAAAAAGCAUCGGCUAACUCCGUGCCAGCAGCCGCGGUAAUACGGAGGAUGCGAGCGUUAUCCGGAUUUAUUGGGUUUAAAGGGUGCGUAGGCGGAAGGUUAAGUCAGCGGUCAAAUGUCGGUGCUCAACACCGGCCUGCCGUUGAAACUGGUCUUU
RNAcentral lists this ribosomal RNA (305 nucleotides) under uncultured bacterium. RNAcentral's name for it is "bacterial SSU rRNA". It matches the Rfam family "Bacterial small subunit ribosomal RNA", at positions 338 to 641 of the family's 1533-position model. The record is from RNAcentral.